This 253-nucleotide ribosomal RNA is filed under the name uncultured bacterium. Its description in RNAcentral is "partial 16S ribosomal RNA". It matches the Rfam family "Bacterial small subunit ribosomal RNA", at positions 524 to 776 of the family's 1533-position model. The record is from RNAcentral.
GACAGAGGUGCCAAGCGUUAGGCGGAAUCACUGGGCUUAAAGCGUGUGUAGGCGGGUCGUUAAGUACCUUGUGAAAUCCCACGGCUCAACCGUGGAACUGCUUGGUAUACUGGCGAUCUUAAGCCAGCUAGGGGCUACCGGAACAAACGGUGGAGCGGUGAAAUGCGUAGAUAUCGUUUGGAACGCCAAUGGUGAAAACAGGUAGCUGGGGCUGUGCUGACGCUGAGACACGAAAGCCAGGGGAGCGAACGGG